GUCUACGGCCAUAUCACCCUGAAUGUGCCUGAUCUUGGAAGCUAAGCAGGGUCGGGCCUGGUUAGUACUUGGAUGGGAGAUGGGUGCUGUAGGAU
This 95-nucleotide ribosomal RNA is filed under the name Mus musculus (house mouse). The record is from RNAcentral. Lineage: Eukaryota; Metazoa; Chordata; Mammalia; Rodentia; Muridae.